Molecule: ribosomal RNA, 253 nt
Filed under: uncultured bacterium
Lineage: Bacteria
Description: partial 16S ribosomal RNA
Rfam family: Bacterial small subunit ribosomal RNA
Source: RNAcentral
UACGUAGGGUGCAGGCGUUAAUCGGAAUUACUGGGCGUAAAGCGUGCGCAGGCGGUUUGCUAAGACAGGUGUGAAAUCCCCGGGCUUAACCUGGGAACUGCGCUUGUAACUGGCAAGCUGGAGUGUGGCAGAGGGGGGUGGAAUUCCACGUGUAGCAGUGAAAUGCGUAGAUAUGUGGAGGAAUACCGAUGGCGAAGGCAGCCCCCUGGGAUAAAACUGACGCUCAUGCACGAAAGCGUGGGGAGCAAACAGG